GACAACAUGCAAACUCCACACACUGUGAGGCAUCAUGCUUUUUGUGGAUACAUAUUAGUACAACCAUUCCCAAAUGUAAGAAUACCACGGCCCAACUGGAAAUCUGAAAAUAUUCUGGGACUCACAUAAACAGUUAAUCAUAACUUUUAAUGACGCAAGACUAAGAUCAAGUAUCAUACACAACAAGGUCAGAUAAAUGAAGAAAAACAUAAUCUAAAUCCUGUGGCUAUAUAACAGGUUGCAUUUUAAAAGUACCAUAUUUUCCAGACUAUAAAUCACUGCUUUUAUUCUAGUUUUGGAGGUCCUGUAACAUAUUGGAAAAAAAAUACUGCAUCAUCAUUUAUGGCCAUAAGAUGGUACUGUCUACACGCAUGACAAGCUGCUCCUGUACUGUGAUUCACACUCCAGAGCAGAAAGUGGCGGUAACGCUCCAUUAAGCUGGAUGCUAACCACCGUAAAACAAAAAUAAGAGAAGGAGCACAUUUAAAAAAUCAUGCUCUCAAACUGAAAGACCACGCUCUGGAAUAAAAACAAGGAACAUAACUUUCAUCCUACUUGGCACAACAUUUGUUUGCACUGUGUGAGAAAAUAUCAGCAACAGCAAGUCAGCUAGGCGAAGCUGUAAAGUAAGGCUUUUUUUUUUUUUUUACAAAGUCUUCAGGCAUUUAAUUACAUUGCACAUUUACCUUAGCUAACAGUGUUCACGUUAUAUGUAAUACACUGAGUUUUCAGACAUUUAAUUACAUUGCACGUUUACCUCGGAUAUGAUUGUCUUUAGUGGUGACAAAACGCAGUUUACUCAAGUUUUGUGCCUUGUACAAUAAUAAUUAGCUAAUUAACUUCUGUUUGCUAACAUGGUGCUUUGGGUAUAAAUAAAUAAUGCAUCUAUUAAAUUAAAUUAGCUUCUUCAAUGAAGCUGUAGCACCACCUAACAAAAAUAAAUUAGAUUUUAUAGAUCGAUUCAGUUUAAGAUAAGACUUUAUUGAGCUCACAGUGGAGAAAUUCACAUGGUCCCUCCCUUCACGCCAAUGGUGCUUUUUUGGGGGGGACAGAUGCAACUAAUAGUCUGGUGUUGUAAUCAUAUGUUUUUGGGGUAAUUUUAAACUUUUAUUACAAAAUUGAAAAUCAGACGUUUACAUUAAUUUAUUUUGCAUUACCGCUCACAGCCCAUUUGCAGUAUCUUCACGGCACACCAGGGGGUUGUGAGCCCCCACACUUAUCACUGAUCUAAUACAUUGAGGCCUUUCAGACAUGAAAAUUACUACAGGCAUGAGUGACUUUAUACUUGGGAAAAAUAUUUGCUUUAUUAGGAGCAACACAAACGUCAAACCAAUCGCUGAUCUCACUCACUCAUCUUCAAUUGCUUAUCAUGGGUCACGGGGGCAACAGUUCCAGCAGGGGACCCCAGACCUUCCUUUCCUACACUCCAAACUCAAUACAACUCUCAUCUUCACAUCACACGGUCAGUAGGUCUUAGAUCAACGAGUUACCAGCUACUUUAAAUGGUUAUAUAAACUCUGCUUUACCAGCAGUAGGGGAGUACUGAUGCAAAUUCCAGUCCGAUUCUGACGGCUGGGUGAAAACAGGUUAGAAUCAACCCAAGAAAUUACUUGAAAUAAACUGAUGUAAUAUGACUCAAGAAAAUCUUAAUCCCUUUAUUGAUACGUAAAAGUGUUAUUGUGACGGUCAUUUAGAGACAGACUAUAACCAGUUGAGAAUUCGGUCAUCAAGGCUAAUGCAUAGAUGUGACACAGAUCGAAGGGGUGGAACAUAUUGGGGAAGAAAAAACACUAAGGCAUUACCCAACCUGUAUCUAAUGGAACUAGCUUUGUAGAUGAGUGUUAUAAAAACGGCUACUUUUUACUAAAGCUGUUUACGUACAUGUACACACUGCUGAACACAUUGCUGAAAAGUAACUGAUGGUACUAACUUUUGCUCCGUCUUCCUUAUGGAGCACGUGGUACGAAUUCUUGGAGAAUUAACCAAGUUCAACCAGAGCAGCACAAACCACAACCAAGCCCAAGAGCGCUUAGAGAGCGCCACUAUCGCAGUAACAUCACAGUACAGUCGCACAGUUGAGUCAUCAAACGCGGGUCGCUUGCGAAACUGUCCUUCCAGAAGGGUCCAGUCAAUGAAGACUAUACCUUGGGCUGUUCCCAGUCAGUUGAUGUUGGGAGGGUAGGGGUUGAUCCAUCCUCAUGGAUGAGCUUUGAGGAUGCGGUGGAGCAGCAUAAACCUGACCAACUGCUGGGGUUAGUAGGAGAGAACAUCAGGUGCUCGCCCCAUUCAGGACUUGAAAUGGCAGUUUUCUGCACAGAAGGCCAGUGCACCUUAUGAUGCCUCCAACAUCAGCUGGAUCUGGAUUCUAGGAUUUUUAAUAUGGUUAAUGUUAGCAAUAGGGGCUGUCUUGGGGUCACAUGAAGAGCAACCUCUCAGCAAUGUACACGAUAAAGAACAUGCAUGUGCCCAUCGGUGUCACGCUAAUUAGCCUGUGAAGAAUCCUGGAGAGAAGUGCGUGGACCUGGAUUCUGGCGAUCUUAUGAGGAUCGGCCCAUUGUGGCCAAAAAUAAAUAUAUGAUUUGUAAAGUAUCGUUGCCGAACGUUAAUGAGCCGUAUUAAAUGACCCUGAUGGGGUUUGGAUUAAAGACACUACAGGGCUGUGCCAGAUAUCUCGAAAACCUGCAAACAAAUGCAUAAUGUACUUGAUGGAGGCAAAACGUGAGGAUGGAGGGAAGAAAAAGGGGAGGAGACAGUUUGCACAUUUAUAAACUUUUAUUCUCAUGCUUUGUUUAAAGCUGCCACCUUAGGGGGAAGAAAGAAAUAAGAGGAAAAAAAAAAGAGCGAGAGAAGACAGUGGGAGCCUCCCCGGGGAUGAGGUGGGGGGGCGGCAUUUGGAUGAUUUGGUGUGAAUGCAUCCACGCUUGUGUGUAUGUGCUUUGAGGAGCUGUUUGUGAAGUCUUUGUACGUGUGCGCAUGUGUGGGUGUGCUUUUAUUGUAUGCAUAUUAAUGUAUGCCUGCCCCCCACCCUCCCCACCUCCUGCUUCCCUCAGUCUUCAUUUAUGGCAUGUUAAUGUCUGCCUCCUCACUCACACAGCUUCUGACAGCAGUACAGUGGGUGCGUGCACGUGCCCGUGCCAGGCUGGGUCUGCAUCUAUAUCUAUGUGCUGCACACGUGUGUGUCUGGCUUCACGCACCGACUGCGCAUGUCUGCCCCCCCCCCCCCCCCAUGUGGGCGGUUUGGGUGCUCAGUUCUGCAAGGUCUCCAUGUGCACGUCUGCCUGAGCGAGUGGGUGGUGUCUGUGCACAGAGGUUGAGAUGAGCGCCUGUUUGUUUUUGUCGGCCUCAGAAAACGGCACACCUUUAACCCCCCCCCCCCCCCAGCUCUGCAGCACCACAUGCACAGAGUGUGUACAUCUGUGUCAAAUCAGAGCUGCAGCCGUCGUUCCUCUGCAGCUGUUCUCUUUCUGGAUGAGCUCUUAAAUGACCUAAAUAUGAAAUGGAACAGCGACGAGAUGAUGGAAAAAAAUAACCUCUGCCAAAGCACACGCACCAUCUGAUGUCAGAGUGAUAAAAUACUCCGAAAAUUUCCAUCAUCACACCUAAAAAUUAAAACUUUGAAUUUAAGCAGAUUCCCAAACUUUCACCGGUUUCAAAAAAAUUGUUUAGUCAUUUUUGAGUCAUCCUGCGUGGGCUAAAAGCCGACACCAGACUGUUCAGUUUGUCAAAGUGUCCAAAGUUUUAACGUAAAAACACAAAAUCCCAACACAAACUACAAAUCUCCCAUGUUUUUGACUGACAUUCAGCCCAGACGGGAGGCUGCACGGUUUCUUCAGGCCAGUUGGACUUUAUGGUGCCAAAGAAACCAGAUCCCACCAGAACCAAACAAAAUCUCUACCAACCCACAGAAGACAGUUACAACCCUUUACCCAUCAGACCUCUAUGACAUCACAGAGAAAGAAUGAUGAAUAAUUACGUCAGUUAUAUACUGCAGUGCGCUGAACAACGUAACGGUCUUCCACAACAAAAACUUUGUUAAAAUCCAUCUAUCACUAUUAUUAUUUGUGUAUUUUAUUGAUAUAUUUCUUUCUAACACGUGAACGCGAACCCUCCCGUCAGCUGGAAUAAAACUAGUUAUGCUAGAUUUGAGUUAAACCAAAAAGGAAACAUGCUUUUGGAUAACUGGCUAUAAUUGGUGACAUUUCCCCUCCCUGAGAACAGCUCAGUUCCAAAAAGCUGCUUACAUGGAUUUAUUUAUUUAUUUUUAGAUCUGACUUUGACCUCAGGUCGUAGGUCAGUUUCUAGUUGGCUUGUCGUUGGGUGUUUUUGAUUUUUGUUUGAAUGCUCUGGCUCACUCUGGGACACUGUUAUGACCACACAAGCAGCUUUUUUUGGAUUUCAGAGUUAAGUAUAAGUGCGUUUUCGUGGCAGGGACCAAAGAGUUGUGGUACGAUUUCGAUAUCUUUUGUGGUUUAGCGAUAUAGUGGUGGAGGGACGACACAAAGAAAAACCACAAAUGAGCAAUUCUGUUACCUUCCUCUGUGGCCUUCACCCACCAGGGCUGUAAUUAAAAGAUAGUGGAAGUUAUUAUUUUUUGCUGAAAUAGAAAAUAUGCAUUUAGUUUAUUUGUAUCUCCGCUGCUGAUGUUAUUAAAAAAUCAUCUGGUUUAGUUGCUGCUGGUUCACUGCUGCUAUGACACAGAACCACCAGAGAUGGCGCUUUUAUUUUCUGGUUAAUGUAAAGGGGGUGGAAGUCUGUGGGGGUUAAUUUUUUUUUUAGUCAGUAAACCAACAGGAAAUAUUCCAAAAAGAACCCCAAUUAAGAAAAUGUUGCCUACAUUAUGACACUUUGUCACUUUAAUUAAUGUCCAUGCGUUAUUGCAAGAGAAAUUACGAAAAUACAAUGUUGACAAAAUAGUAAAAAUAAAUAAAUAAGUUUUUGUUUUUGUAUUUUUGUCCUCCUGUGUCCCACCCGGACACCAAGUUCAAAAAAGUUCCAUAAGGUUUUGAAUAAUGCGGGUGACAAACCCAACACACAGACAAACACGAAACACAACCUCCAGUGAGGCAGUAAUAGCAUAUGACAGUAGGAGGCGCCGUACAAUUAAAGGGGUCAUAUUGUGUAACAUAGUUUAUUAAUCUACUCUUUACAGUUAGAUGUGGUUGAGACUUUUAAGUUCAGUGUCAUCAAAACACUUCAGUCCGUACUACGUUUGUGCUUGUAGAACCUCACUUGCAAAUUUUUAAGACGGAUGAUGUUUUACGCUGGUGUGACAUAUGUCACAGAAACAAAGACCUGAAUUGUUUAUUCUGGCGCAGUUCAAGAAACACUCUUAUGUGUUGGUGGGUGUGCAAGUCAGCACAUCAAAAAACCUCCAAAUCAUCUGAUGACCCAUAAUUCUCUUCCCUCUUGCAGCAGUGUAGAAUAAAAAAAAAAAAAACAUUUUGUUUUUCCCGCAAUGAACCAGUAAGUUGGUGUUUACACACGGUUAACCCCAGUUUUACUGAUUCAGACAAGGUGCUGCUCACCACCUCAGGUCAUGUCUGGGAGCAUGCUAAACUGUGCAUCGUCACAUCAACCACACCGCCUCGGGACCUGGAUGGCAACCACCCAGGCAGAGAACCAGCGCACUUGUACGUUUGGCUUCAAACUUUCACAUUCGGUUUUAAGACUUGGCUGAAAUGACCCCUUUAAUUUAAAAACUGAGCCAGGCCUCACACUGACAGCCGUUAACGUCUCUGAGAUAUGCUGCUGACAAACAAACAUUGCAUAUUUGGUGGCGGUAAUUACGGCCAAAUGAAUAAUCAAACUGUUUCUCUGCUCUGCUUUUGUCUUCCUCCAUCUAUUUCUGCAUGUUUAGACGUCUUCAUCCCCGCCACUUAUGUCUCGUCUCCUCUUUAUGUAUACGUCCAUCUCUCGCUUACCCCCCAUCCCUCACACACACACACACAAGUUAGUGUCGCUCACUCAUCUGUUCAUUACAUGAAACAUAAUUUUCCAGCCACUGCUGCUUCAUUCCUCCAUCACCUCAUUUUCAUCAUUGGAUGCAAGUCGCUGCCACAUUCUUAUGUGUGUGUGUGUGAGUGAGAGACUGUUUGUCUGCAACAACAGAUGGAGUUGCCAAAUAUGUUGCUGCAUGUUUUUGUGUGUUGUCGAGUUGAGCAGUGAGAAAUGCAAAUGUGCAGCAUCUGUAAUAGAUGGGUGUAGGUAGUCAACCCCCCCCCCCCCCAACCCCUUCUUUGUGUGACGGAUUUUCGUGUUUGCUGCACCUUUAAUAAUCAGACGAUUGAUGAGGACUGUUUAUCUGUCCCUGCAUUCCCCGACCAAUCACAAUGCCCACUUGAGGGACGCAGCCAAUCAUGAGGCGGAUAUCAACUAGAAUGUUGAACCAAGUGACCAAGUGGGAUUAAAAAAAUAAUUGUAAUCUUCCCAGACUUGAGCAGAGGAGGGGGAGGAGGAGGAAGGAGGAGCUGCUCUUCCUGAGGAGGAGAUGUUUGUUAAGAAUCUCCCCGGACAGUUGAGGCAUUGCGGCAGUCUGCCGUCACAUGAGCGAAGCCACAAUCCAGACAAAGAGAAAAGAGAGGGAGAGCAGACUAAUGAUGGAGGAGGAGGUGGUGAGCUGCCUCGCUCUGGCUUCGUGCCACAAAGAUAAAUACCUGCCUGUUUAUCAAGCAUUUUGCAGAGGGGUGGGGUCUUCGUCGUCGUCAUCGUGACAAUAAAAAAAGACGGCUUCUUUGCCUAAAACAAUCGCUGCUUCCAAAACUUACCUUUAGUUCGGAAAAAUGUCAACUCAUUUUAAACGUCUUUCAGCACCUUGAAGAGUUCCAAUUGCACUAAAUGUUUGUGUCUGCGUGAUUCACUCUCAGCACUGUAAUACGUGAAAAAUCUACUGCAGUCGAAACACAAAGACCCGAUCAGAUCAGAAAUCACAACAAAUAGCAGAAUAUACCCAGAAUCUGAUCCUACAAGGGCAGAACAUCAAGUGUUACCACCCGAUACAUAAAACUACACAGUGCCGCAUAGAGGUUCUGUAUGAAACUUUCAGGAAAAACUAUUUUAAAGAAGUCUUUUUUGUUGUUGUGUUUUUUUGUUUUGUUUUUUUUUUAGAAUGAAGUAAAUUUCAGGGGAAUGAAGCAUUAAAAAAAAAAAAAAAAAAAACGCAGAAAAGUUUAUGGAUUUUUCAUAAAAACAAAGUGGGAAAGUAAUAUCAGAAGAAUAUUAUUAAUCAAUUAGUAAUCCUAAUUGGGGGGGGGGAUAAUUAGUAAAGCUGAAGUUGUAUGAGAAGUUAUGAGGCGUGCUAUGAGGAAAAAUUCACAUUAUGAGAAUUUAUUUUAUGAGAAGUUAGAGUAUAAAAAAGUCACAUUUUACCAGAUCAGUGUUACAAGAAUAAAGCUAAAAAACUGAGGCAAAAAGUUAUGAGAAGCUGUAAUUUUGUUCAAAUGGUAUGACUGUUUUAUUUUGGGCAAAGUCAUUCCAAAAAGUAUGAAUGUUCAACAAAAUCAGCAAAAAAAAAAAAUAAAAAAAAAAUCUGGACAUUUUUGCCAGUGCAGUCAAAAUUUUGAGAAUAAAAUCGUAAGUCUUAAUGCUAAGAGUGUUAAACUACAGCAAUAGUUGUAUUUUAUGAGAAGGGUCAGACAAAUGUAGUAAAUUUUUUUAGAAAAUAUUUGCAGGCAAUUAAAGAAUGCUUUGAUGUGGGUUGUUCAAAAAGCAGAGCGCGCAUGUUUCAACAUUAUCCUCCAGAUUUUUCAGAAAUUCCAUCAAGCAUUCACUAAGAUUACUCCCUAGAACAUGUCCAAACAUGUCCAGCAGGUGGCAGUCAGGUAUAUAGUAUAAAAAAAACUAAACAAAACCUUUUUUGUUGAUUAGGUGUAUCAAAAUUAACAAAAUUAACUUUUUUUAUUUAUUAUUUGUUCUUAUUACAGGUGCUUUUAUUUUGGAGACUUUCAAGACAACAGCAUUUGUUGUUUUUGAGUUAUUAUAACUGUAGGGGUUGGACUAACAUAUCCAUCAUCUAUUCAUUCACGAGGCUUUUUCCAAAGCUAAAUUCUGUUCCUCUUACAGGUUUGUUGAGUUAUUACUAGGGAUGGGACGACUAGUCGUAAUAAUAGACUACAACUAGCUAACAUCCGACGAGUCGAUGACUAAUGGUACCCGACUAGUUGGCUAAUGAUUUUCAUUAGUUGUCCCAACCCUAGUUAUUACCACUUUUAUUCUCACUUUUCCUGAAAAAGACUUUAUUCUUGUGACAGGAUUUGCUCAGAAUAUUCCAUGUUCACGUUAAAAGAUGAUUUUAUCUUUAACGUAUUAUUACAUCUUUGACUUUAUGGAAACAUUUCAGAGUGGGUAGUUGAGCUGUUGAGAAAUUAUGAGGUGAAAGAAAAGGUCAAAUUCUGUGAAGUAAUUUUGACAAAGAGCAAAAAAAAAAAAAAAUAGAUAAAAACAUAAAACAACAACAAAAAACAGGUGAACCUCACCGGCGAAUGUUGGUCAGUCUGGUACUGUGGGCCACGUGCCACUGAAUAGCUUUUAUUUAACAAAACCUAAAACCCACCCGUGACCUUUGACUUUUAAAAAGUCGCAGCAGUUCAGUUUUAUACGAGCACAGUUUUCUGACUUUAGGUCAAGCGGGCCGUUUCUCUGUGCACUGCGUGUUUGCUCAUGAUCUUAGAAGAGCUUUGCAGACAUUUGAGAAUUGUUCUAUUUUUUUUUUUUUUUCAUUUUACAUGUGUGUUUACAAUUUUUUGUUUUCUACAACUGAACUAGUGUACUGUAGGCUUUGAAAGAUAUUUUAAAAAACAUGCUACUAAAAUUCAACAUUAACACCUGUACUUAGAGUUGCCAAGUUGUGUUUUUUUUUUUAAAGAUCUAAAAUAGUUUAGAGAAAGAGAACCACAUAUUUUUGCAUUGUAAUUGUUGUAUGACUGAGGUGCUUCGGACGGGAUCGGGGUGCUGCACUGCAGAAAGCAAACAGGCGAACAAAAGGAUGGCAGCCGAUGAAAAGUGUAACGCUGUCGCACUCGCUUCAUUUAAAGGCUACAAGUCUGAAUGUGUUAUAAACAAAAUCUCUUUAUUGGUUUGCGACAGUAUAAAUAUACGUCUAAGCAUAAAUCUUCAUUUGAAUCCAAAGUAAGUUUACUUGACCUGGUUCUUGAGCCAGCUUUUCCUUCAAAGAAUAAGCUAAUGCUGCUUGAAUGUUACGAUUGGUCGCCACCUGGUGGCUAAAGGCUGUAGUACACUUCAACAAAUGUAAAGCAAAAGAAGCUUGAAGUAUACUAGCGCCUUGUGGAUAUUUACUGCAGCACAGAGAAGGGGGGCUCUACACCUGCAGUGACCAUCAACAGCCACCAGAGGGCAGGAAUUCGCCGAAGCAGUGAUCUUCCAAAAACUAAGAUUGUAAUUCUAGAGUCUCGAUCACUGUAUUCAACAGAGCACCUUAAGAGCAAAGCACUGUGUGGCUCUGCUCCUCAGUCUCCAAAUUUGAUGCAAACCUGCCAAAACAUCCACCGCUGUGGAUCAAAAAGCCAAAUACAGGUGGCAGCAGACUGAAAACUGCUGAACAACUUGUGAAAAAUAAAAGUGCUGCAGCCACAAUGUUGACGCUUCCAUCUACAGCUUUGUUUGAUUCCUGCUUCUGGUCUACGUCUCACCUACCGAUCCACAAAAAGAAACAUAGGUGUGAGGAGUGUAAUGGUAUUUAUAAAAGAGUAAAUAAUAAGCACCUUUGGUGGAGCACUCACCUCUCUAAACAAGACGGCGUGUCUAAGCCUCUGCACCAUUCUGAGCACGCUCACUGUGUCACUUCCUGUUUGUGGUUUUGGAUGUUGGUGUCAGAAGUGGGAUUUUUCUUUGUUUUGGGGGAACUGAUAUUUUUGUAAAGUUUCUGUUUUUAUCUUUUUUGUACUCUGAUUCACAUUUUUUUAUUUUGCAUUUUAAUUUUCUGUUUACUGUAAAAAAAAAAAAAAAAAAAAAAAAAUGUGCCCUUCAAACUGUCUCCCCCUGGUGGGAAGUGGGAGUAUAGACUGUCAACACUCCUCUGCAGGGCGGUGGGAGGAAGUGGGUGAGGAAUGUUGGAAGAUAUUUAUCUUCCAGGAAGUGAAAGAACACUUAUUACCCAGCAUGCAUUUGGGUGGGUUGAAACUUGCAGCAAGGUAAAGUGUCAAUCCAACAAGCACAAAAAUGUUAUAUUUUCUCUUUGGAAACUGCUCAGUGAUCAGAUCUAAUCAUUUGCAAUGGAGCAUCCAGGCCGCCUUAACGAGAAAAGG
Long non-coding RNA from Thalassophryne amazonica, 10259 nucleotides. RefSeq lists it as uncharacterized. The record is from RefSeq and is a predicted model, not a curated record. The transcript is spliced from 2 exons. Lineage: Eukaryota; Metazoa; Chordata; Actinopteri; Batrachoidiformes; Batrachoididae.